AAUAGAUACCCCGGUAGUCCACCCCGUAAACGUUGGGAACUAGUUGUGGGGUCCUUUCCACGGAUUCCGUGACGCAGCUAACGCAUUAAGUUCCCCGCCUGGGGAGUACGGCCGCAAGGCUAAAACUCAAAGGAAUUGACGGGGACCCGCACAAGCGGCGGAGCAUGCGGAUUAAUUCGAUGCAACGCGAAGAACCUUACCAAGGCUUGACAUACACCAGAACACCCUAGAAAUAGGGGACUCUUUGGACACUGGUGAACAGGUGGUGCAUGGUUGUCGUCAGCUCGUGUCGUGAGAUGUUGGGUUAAGUCCCGCAACGAGCGCAACCCUCGUUCUAUGCUGCCAGCACGUAAUGGUGGGAACUCAUGGGAUACUGCCGGGGUCAACUCGGAGGAAGGCGGGGAUGACGUCAAAUCAUCAUGCCCCUUAUGUCUUGGGCUUCACGCAUGCUACAAUGGCCGGUACAAAGGGCUGCAAUACCGUGAGGUGGAGCGAAUCCCAAAAAGCCGGUCCCAGUUCGGAUUGAGGUCUGCAACUCGA
This 540-nucleotide ribosomal RNA is filed under the name uncultured bacterium. Its description in RNAcentral is "bacterial SSU rRNA". It matches the Rfam family "Bacterial small subunit ribosomal RNA", at positions 777 to 1315 of the family's 1533-position model. The record is from RNAcentral.